CAUUGAGUGUUGUGCGCGGCGCUUCAGCACGCGGCCCUCCGAGCUGAGGUGGUCCGCGCAGCCUUUCGCGCUAAGAAAUCUGGUCUGAAGGGCUGGGGGCAAGACCUCUGCACACAGCACCCUGUGAGCAACUGAAACUAGAGGAUGCACAAAGGCAAAGGAAAAAAAGUGCCAAGAUUCAAGAUAAUUCAUUUAUCUUGGAAAUGAGGGAAAUGUCUCCUUUUAGGUGCCUCAACUUGAUGAAGAUGCCCAGAGAUUUGUUUCCAAUUCCUGAUGCCCUAGAGGCUAUGGAAAGGAAAGUUCAGUUUCUCCAGUUCUUCAAAAGUUACCUGUGGUGAUUACUCUCAAGAUUUCUGCCUUCAAGUGGAUUUUGGCUUGAGUAUUUCUUACUUUUCUGGACUCAAAGGUAUACCGAGCUCUGAUAUCAGUGGGGCACAAAGCAGGUACAGAAAGCCCCAUCCUGUAGGUACAGAGUAUUGACGAUAGAGCGCAGUGAGACAGGCAGAUUCCAAGGCCUGGUGUUGUUGUGUUUAAUUGAAUGUUGAGCUUUGUAUGACUGCAAGGAUAUAGUCCCUACCUCUCUCCACUGAGAAACUUCCAAUCAGCAAUCUCCAGUGGUAAUGAGCAUACUUGGCCCUCUGAUCUUGGUUUCUAAAUACAAUUGUCCACUUAAGGGAAGCAGAAUUCCUUGGACAAGUGAUUCUAUCUAUGACUGGGCAGAGAAAUUGCAAGAUGAGCCUGGGAAAUCUUGCUGCAUAAGAAAGAAGGAAAUUAUCAGAAAAUGGAGAAAUAUCAAAAGGACAAAAAAGGUAGCUUCAAAGGGGACCCAAUAAGCAAGUUUGGGACAAUUUUAACAUUACAGUGUCAUGAGAAUAUUGAACCUACUAAAUAAAACAAGAAUCUAUCAAUCCAUACUGGUAUGAAUAGAUGAAUAAAUUGAAAUUUUGUUGAGAAAUGGAAUCUUUACCUAGCCUCAAAGUACCUCCCCCACAAAAUAUGUGUUAACUAUAAAGGAGGGGAAAGUAACUUUAUAUUAAGAAGCCUGGCGGAUGCCACCUAAAUCAAGUAAUCAAAGUUAACAUCACCAGCAAUGGAGCAAAUCAAACCCACGUGUCACCUGACAGGAUGAAAGGAGAAGAAUGCAGGGUCACUUUUGUGAUGUGCCUGCCCAAGUUGCAUAACUGAAUUUAAUCAUGAGGAAACCUGAGACAAACCCACCGGGGGGGGGGCAUUCUACCAAAUAACAAGCCUAUAAUCUUCGAAAAUGUCAUGGUUCCGAAAAUCAAGGAAAGACCAAAGAACUGUUGUAGACUGAAGGAGUUUAAAGAAUCAUGACAACUAAAUAUCAUGCAGGAUUCUGGACUGGAUUCUUUUCUUAGAAAGGACCUCAUUGAGACUACCGGCAAAACUUGAAUGGAAUCUGAGGACUAGAUGGUAAUAAUGUAUCAAUAUCAUUUCCUGGAUGGCUGUAUUACUGUUGUGUAGGAGAAUGUCUGUUCUAUACUAACAUAUUCCAGGGUGAUGGGGCAUUGUGUUGGUCUCUCACUCUCAAAUGGUUCAGGAAAAUGUUACUUGGAUGAUUCCUGCAAUUUUUAUAAGUUUGAGAUUGUU
This is a non-coding RNA of Vicugna pacos (alpaca), 1611 nucleotides long. The record is from RefSeq and is a predicted model, not a curated record. NCBI's taxonomy places the organism in Eukaryota, Metazoa, Chordata, Mammalia, Artiodactyla, Camelidae.